AAACCAGCACCUCAAGUGGUCAGGAGGAUUAUUGGGCCUAAAGCAUCCGUAGCCUGUUCUGUAAGUUUUCGGUUAAAUCUGUAUGCUCAACAUACAGGCUGCCGGGAAUACUGCAGAGCUAGGGAGUGGGAGAGGUAGACGGUACUCGGGAGGAAGUGGUAAAAUGCUUUGAUCUCUCGAUGACCACCUGUGGCGAAGGCGGUCUACCAGAACACGUCCGACGGUGAGGGAUGAAAGCUGGGGGAGCAAACCGGAUUAGAAACCCUAGUAGUCC
RNAcentral lists this ribosomal RNA (274 nucleotides) under uncultured bacterium. Its description in RNAcentral is "partial 16S ribosomal RNA". It matches the Rfam family "Archaeal small subunit ribosomal RNA", at positions 473 to 747 of the family's 1478-position model. The record is from RNAcentral.